CGCGGCCUAUCAGCUUGUUGGUGAGGUAACGGCUCACCAAGGCAUCGACGGGUAGCUGGUCUGAGAGGACGAUCAGCCACACUGGGACUGAGACACGGCCCAGACUCCUACGGGUGGCAGCAGUAGGGAAUCUUGCGCAAUGGGCGAAAGCCUGACGCAGCAACGCCGCGUGGGGGAUGAAUGCCUUCGGGUUGUAAACCCCUUUCAGCAGGGACGAAAUUGACGGUACCUGCAGAAGAAGGUCCGGCCAACUACGUGCCAGCAGCCGCGGUAAUACGUAGGGACCAAGCGUUGUCCGGAAUUAUUGGGCGUAAGGAGCUCGUAGGCGGUUCAGUAAGUCGGGUGUGAAAACUCAAGGCUCAACCUUGAGACGCCACUCGAUACUGCUGUGACUUGAGUCCGGUAGAGGAGUGUGGAAUUCCUGGUGUAGCGGUGAAAUGCGCAGAUAUCAGGAGGAACACCAGCGGCGAAGGCGGCACUCUGGGCCGGUACUGACGCUGAAGAGCGAAAGCAUGGGGAGCAAACAGGAUUAGAUACCCUGGUAGUCCAUGCCGUAAACGUUGGGCACUAGAUAUGGGAUCAUAUCAACGGAUUCCGUGCCGUAGCUAACGCAUUAAGUGCCCCGCCUGGGGAGUACGG
RNAcentral lists this ribosomal RNA (639 nucleotides) under uncultured Actinomycetes bacterium. Its description in RNAcentral is "bacterial SSU rRNA". It matches the Rfam family "Bacterial small subunit ribosomal RNA", at positions 232 to 885 of the family's 1533-position model. Lineage: Bacteria; Bacillati; Actinomycetota; Actinomycetes. The record is from RNAcentral.